GGGGUUCUGGCUCAGUGGUAGAGUGCUUGCCUAGCAUGCAUGAGGCACUGGGUUCGAUCCUCAACACCACA
RNAcentral lists this transfer RNA (71 nucleotides) under Marmota monax (woodchuck). RNAcentral describes it as "tRNA.Ala". The record is from RNAcentral. Lineage: Eukaryota; Metazoa; Chordata; Mammalia; Rodentia; Sciuridae.